Long non-coding RNA from Zea mays, 143 nucleotides. RefSeq lists it as uncharacterized. The transcript is spliced from 3 exons. Lineage: Eukaryota; Viridiplantae; Streptophyta; Magnoliopsida; Poales; Poaceae. The record is from RefSeq and is a predicted model, not a curated record.
GGUUCAGAAAACAAGAGUGUCUCGAAUCAACUGACCAUACAACAAUACACUUCAAACCGUUCCAUCACAACACCCAUUAUUUUGAACCAAUUCAAAAGGCUUUGGUGGCGCGGAACGAUCGUCAGUUUGCCGUUAGAUAUCUU